GGGUGAGUAACGCGUGAGUAACCUGCCUCUAAGAGGGGAAUAACAUUCUGAAAAGAAUGCUAAUACCGCAUAACAUAUAUUUAUCGCAUGGUAGAUAUAUCAAAGAUUUAUCGCUUAGAGAUGGACUCGCGUCCGAUUAGUUAGUUGGUGAGGUAACGGCUCACCAAGACUGCGAUCGGUAGCCGGACUGAGAGGUUGAACGGCCACAUUGGGACUGAGACACGGCCCAGACUCCUACGGGAGGCAGCAGUGGGGGAUAUUGCGCAAUGGGGGAAACCCUGACGCAGCAACGCCGCGUGAAGGAUGAAGGUCUUCGGAUUGUAAACUUCUUUUAUUAAGGACGAAGAAAGUGACGGUACUUAAUGAAUAAGCUCCGGCUAACUACGUGCCAGCAGCCGCGGUAAUACGUAGGGAGCAAGCGUUGUCCGGAUUUACUGGGUGUAAAGGGUGCGUAGGCGGCUUUGCAAGUCAGAUGUGAAAUCUAUGGGCUCAACCCAUAGCCUGCAUUUGAAACUGCAGAGCUUGAGUGAAGUAGAGGCAGGCGGAAUUCCCCGUGUAGCGGUGAAAUGCGUAGAGAUGGGGAGGAACACCAGUGGCGAAGGCGGCCUGCUGGGCUUUAACUGACGCUGAGGCACGAAAGCGUGGGUAGCAAACAGGAUUAGAUACCCUGGUAGUCCACGCUGUAAACGAUGAUUACUAGGUGUGGGGGGUCU
Molecule: ribosomal RNA, 713 nt
Filed under: uncultured bacterium
Lineage: Bacteria
Description: bacterial SSU rRNA
Rfam family: Bacterial small subunit ribosomal RNA
Source: RNAcentral